This 325-nucleotide ribosomal RNA is filed under the name uncultured eukaryote. Its description in RNAcentral is "partial 18S ribosomal RNA". It matches the Rfam family "Eukaryotic small subunit ribosomal RNA", at positions 1470 to 1796 of the family's 1831-position model. The record is from RNAcentral.
CCCUUAGAUGUUCUGGGCCGCACGCGCGCUACACUGAUGCAUUCAACGAGCCUAUCCUUGACCGACAGGGCCGGGUAAUCUUUGAAUCUGCAUCGUGACGGGGAUAGAUUAUUGCAAUUAUUAAUCUUCAACGAGGAAUGCCUAGUAGGCGCAAGUCAUCAGCUUGCGUCGAUUACGUCCCUGCCCUUUGUACACACCGCCCGUCGCUCCUACCGAUUGGGUGUGCUGGUGAAAUGUUCGGAUCGGCCGUUUGUCGCGGUUUCCGCGGCUCGUGGCUGAGAAGUUCAUUAACCCCUCCCACCUAGAGGAAGGAGAAGUCGUAACA